Molecule: transfer RNA, 77 nt
Filed under: Candidatus Aminicenantota bacterium
Lineage: Bacteria; Candidatus Aminicenantota
Description: Candidatus Aminicenantes bacterium tRNA-His
Rfam family: tRNA
About the family: Transfer RNA (tRNA) molecules are approximately 80 nucleotides in length. Their secondary structure includes four short double-helical elements and three loops (D, anti-codon, and T loops).
Source: RNAcentral
GUGAGCGUAGCUCAACUGGUUAGAGCAUCGGACUGUGGAUCCGAAGGUUGGGGGUUCGAGACCCCUCGCUCACCCCU